ACCAAAAUUUCAUCCAUUUCAAACCUAAUUCCUGAUCUCUCUCCUCUAAACUCUCUGAUCCCUUUCUCUCUCCUCCUAACCGGAGUUGUUCUCUCUCCUCCGUCCGCCUCUUGGCCAAAGCCUAACACCGGCCAAAGCCUCCUCGCUGUUUCAAUGCUCCACCGCCAUCAACUCCUCACCUUUCCAGAAGAAGAACAAGGAACACCGGUCGUGCCGUCGUUGUCGCCAUCACGUUUCCUCUUUGCCGCUUGUUGCGACCGCUGUCGCCGAUGUUUCUUUAGUGUUCGUUCGGUGGUUCAAACCAAGGAUUUCGGCGUCGCCGAUUCGUUUGAGCAGCGGCGUCGCCAAUUCGUUUGAGCAUCGGUGGAGUAGUCGAUGGUGGCGAGUUGUCCCCCGAAGGAAAAGCCUCAAAGAACUCAGUAUUGUUCACUUGGAUGUUGUUGGCUGUUGUAGGCUAGUUAUGUGAACUGAUGAAGAAUUGGACCGACUGGUGGCUGCGACACGCAGAGAGGCAGCUUCUGAAGCACCGCAAGGUUUGUGUGGUGACGCUAGGCUUGCGCCAUUAGGCUUGCUGUGCUGGUUGGCAAAAUGCAAAGAAUUGUAAUUUAGUUUCCAAUAUGUAUUGUAGAUGUAAAUAAUUUUUUUCAUUAGUCUAAGAAUAAUUUCAUUUUAGUUACAUUUUUGUUAUAUUUAGUUACAAUUUUAUGAGUUUUAGUUAAAAUUAAUUUUGUGGUAGUUAAAAAUUAUUUAAGUUUUAGUUAAUAUUUUUUAAGUUUUAGUUAUGAUUUUCUUGGUUUUAGUUAAGUUUUUUUUAGCUUUAGUUACGUAUUUGUAAGUUUUCAAUUCAGUGCUUUAGUUACGACAUUUCGAGUUUUAGUUAUGA
Spinacia oleracea (spinach) is the source of this 883-nucleotide long non-coding RNA. RefSeq lists it as uncharacterized. The record is from RefSeq and is a predicted model, not a curated record. NCBI's taxonomy places the organism in Eukaryota, Viridiplantae, Streptophyta, Magnoliopsida, Caryophyllales, Amaranthaceae. The transcript has 2 exons.